GAUCAUGCUCAGGAUGAACGCUAGCGGCAGGCUUAACACAUGCAAGUCGAGGGGCAGCGGGAUGUAGCAAUACAUUGCCGGCGACCGGCGGAUGGGUGCGUAACGCGUAUGCAACCUACCUUAUACAGGGGAAUAACCUUUCGAAAGGGAGACUAACACCCCAUAGUAUUGAUUUAAGGCAUCUUAGAUUAAUUAAAUAUUUAUAGGUAUAAGAUGGGCAUGCGUAUGAUUAGCUAGUUGGUAAGGUAACGGCUUACCAAGGCGACGAUCAUUAGGGGUUCUGAGAGGAAGGUCCCCCACACUGGUACUGAGACACGGACCAGACUCCUACGGGAGGCAGCAGUGAGGAAUAUUGGUCAAUGGGCGCAAGCCUGAACCAGCCAUGCCGCGUGCAAGGAAGACGGCCUUAUGGGUUGUAAACUGCUUUUACAUAAGACUAACCGUAUAUUUGCGAAUAUACCUGAAUGUAUUAUGAGAAUAAGGAUCGGCUAACUCCGUGCCAGCCGCCGC
RNAcentral lists this ribosomal RNA (510 nucleotides) under uncultured bacterium. RNAcentral's name for it is "bacterial SSU rRNA". It matches the Rfam family "Bacterial small subunit ribosomal RNA", at positions 15 to 518 of the family's 1533-position model. The record is from RNAcentral.